AGGCUCUGGGAGGUCGCGAUAGGCCCAGUUGCCACCAGUCGCUGGUUUCCGGCCUUGGUAAAGCGCCGCGUCCUUAGCGUGGGUGUCGGGAAGGCGCCCUCGGAGACCUCCCUCCCGACGCCAGCCGCGCUCCACUGGGGGCGAGGCCUGGUCAGGCCUGCCGCGCCCGAGCUCACUUUCACUUCUUUGUUCUACUUGUUGCAAGAAGGAACAUCUGGCUCCGCGCCUGGAGAGCAGACUGGAUCCCGCCAUGCACCUGCCCCAGGAGGAGGAGGAGGCGCACUUGACACUGACAAAAGGUCCUGUGUCCGAGCACCAGUGGGAGAGCCGACGAGCAGGGAAAAGCUCCAGUGGCUGAGACGGUUAGCUGAGUAAGCACAUGCUGCCUGGAAACGACAGUUGCUGCAGAGAGUGACAAGGGGUCCUCCAUAGGCCACAGCUUCCCGAAUCAAGAACAGGUGCAGUCACACCCCCUCCGCAAACAAAGAUAUUUUGUUUGAAUGGGCACAACGUGGAAUAAUGGGAUGUAUUAAUAGCUAAAUAGUGUCUUUAUUAACAGUAGAACAGCUGGCAGUUCUCUAUGACAGCGCUCAUUCCAAUCCAUUUUAUCCAAUUGCAGAACUAUAAGCACGCUCCACCAGGGGACCACACGCAAGCAAUCAGCCAUUCAACAGCUCUCUAAUUGCUUCACAGUUGGAAGUGUGUUCUCCUCAGCCACUGUUAUUCUUUCAGGAGGAAUUGUUGGUGCACUAGCCUAUCUAGAAUCAAGUGCUGCUGAUGCAGAUAAGCUGCUUGAAGAAACUUCCUUUGUUUUAUGAGGCCAGGCUAGCCCUCCCUCCACGGAUGGAGUCACUCCCUGGGCCUGGCUGAUCAGAAAUCCCGGGUGCCAGGAGGGAGGCUGCUGCGGGUCUCAGCAUCUCUGUUAUCUCCUAGCAAAGCGAUGCCCCUAAAGAGGGAAAAAUAAACUCCCAACUCAUAAAGAUCCUGUUAGGCCC
RNAcentral lists this long non-coding RNA (995 nucleotides) under Vulpes vulpes (red fox). RNAcentral describes it as "lncRNA (ENSVVUG00000030185.1)". Lineage: Eukaryota; Metazoa; Chordata; Mammalia; Carnivora; Canidae. The record is from RNAcentral.